UACGGAGGGUGCAAGCGUUGUUCGGAAUCACUGGGCGUAAAGCGCGUGUAGGCGGCCUCUUAAGUCUGGUGUGAAAGCCCGGGGCUCACCCCCGGAAGGGCACUGGAUACUGGGAGGCUAGAGUACCGGAGAGGAGGGUGGAAUCCCUGGUAUAGCGGUGAAAUGCGUAGAUAUCAGGAGGAACACCGGUGGCGAAGGCGGACCGCUGGACGGCUACUGACGCUGAGACGCGAAAGCGUGGGGAGCAAACAGG
This 253-nucleotide ribosomal RNA is filed under the name uncultured bacterium. Its description in RNAcentral is "partial 16S ribosomal RNA". It matches the Rfam family "Bacterial small subunit ribosomal RNA", at positions 524 to 776 of the family's 1533-position model. The record is from RNAcentral.